Molecule: long non-coding RNA, 1114 nt
Organism: Mytilus californianus (California mussel)
Lineage: Eukaryota; Metazoa; Mollusca; Bivalvia; Mytilida; Mytilidae
Exons: 2
Source: RefSeq, a predicted model, not a curated record
UAUUUUAUUUUGUUAAGUUAUGUUAUUUAAUACUUAGAUGUGAAGUAUGCAAGAGAUGUAUUAAGAAAUUACAUAAAGUUUUAACCAUAAGCAAAAGGAGCACACAUUUUUAUAUUCUUGUUACAGGAAAGACAUAUUUUGUUACUGGAAGAGACAUUUUUUACUUUUUUUAAUUUCAAACAACGAUUUAGAAUAAGACAUAAUUUCUUAUAAUGUUCUUUCCACUUUGUAAAUAAAGAUGUUUAAUAAAUAGAUAAAAAAAGCAAGAACAAUCUCACAGCACUAAACGAAAGAUGCUUAAACUUAUAUUGUUGUUACGGGAAAGACAUUAGUUUGUUACUGGAAAGAACUUAUUUCACAAUUUUGUACUCCCGAUGCUUUAAAAUGAUGAAAUAAUGUUUUCUUUAAUGGUACUAAAAUUUCAGAGACCAUAUAUACUUAGAUGCAUUAAGAAAAUUAGGAAAUAUACCUCAAGGAAUAAGAGAAAUACACAUGAUAAUAUUCUUGUUACAGGAAAGACAUAUUCCUUUCAUGUAAAGGAUAUUCUAGCAAUUUUAAUCCGAAAUUCCUUUUUCACAAUACUUCUGCACUUUGUAUUUUUUUAGACAAAUAUUUCACAUGAUAAAUAGAUAAAAAUUGAAAAGAUGUCAGCCAGGAAAAUAGGGAAAUACAGAUAGUUUUCUUUUGUUACAGGAAAGAUGUGCUUUGUAACUGGAUGGAAUACUGUACAUAAACUAACAAGUCAACGGUUUAGAAUAGAUUUUCCUUGUAUUCAACAGAAGAGAAACUUCAAAUUUUAAAUAUGGGUAUGUCUAACGCUGAAAGGCAAAGAAAAUUCAGAGAAAAUCGAAAUAAAGAUCUUGUAAAGAGAGAGGCCUAUCUGAAUAAAGAAAAAGAAAGAUAUCAAAAAGAAAAGAGAACUGGAAAAAAGAAAAGUGUGAAAGAUAUGACUGAACGGGAAAAGAGAUCUGCAAGGAAAAAAUGGAGAACAGCAAAACAUAAAGAGAGAUCAGCCAAAAAGACACUACUCAAAUUAAUUACUCCACCUAACACUCCAGAAUCAUCUCCAAAUUUGCAACCUGGUCCUUCACGUCAGAAAGUACAGAGUGUAAAA